GUGCCAGCCGCCGCGGUAAUACGUAGGUGGCGAGCGUUGUCCGGAAUUACUGGGUGUAAAGGGCGUGUAGGCGGGAAGAUAAGUCAGAUGUGAAAUUCCGGGGCUCAACCCCGGCGCUGCAUCUGAAACUAUUUUUCUUGAGUGCUGGAGAGGAAAGCGGAAUUCCUAGUGUAGCGGUGAAAUGCGUAGAUAUUAGGAGGAACACCAGUGGCGAAGGCGGCUUUCUGGACAGUAACUGACGCUGAGGCGCGAAAGCGUGGGGAGCAAACAGGAUUAGAUACCCCGGUAGUCC
RNAcentral lists this ribosomal RNA (292 nucleotides) under uncultured bacterium. Its description in RNAcentral is "partial 16S ribosomal RNA". It matches the Rfam family "Bacterial small subunit ribosomal RNA", at positions 505 to 796 of the family's 1533-position model. The record is from RNAcentral.